CAAUUAGACAUGCUUGCGGGUGAGGGCCCAGACACCUCUAGCCCCUAUGACUAUCUAUCUCAAGUCUUGGAAUAUAAGCAUUUUGAGAGGAUUCGUUGCAGGUCCGGACAUACGCCAACGAGCUACUGGUCUAAGAUGAGCAUCUCCUCAUACACUUCUGGGGUCAUCAGUCGAGAGCAGCUUCAUAAGACCUUUGUGUAGGCAGCUCAGGCUCAGGAGUGCACAUCUCAGGCUGAGAAGUGUGCAUCUCAGCUAUAGAACGUCAUGUUCGCUAUGGUGUCACAGCUCUCCACUCAUCUUGGAACUGAUUUUUUGAGUAUUCAAGACAUGUUGGCUAGCAUUUCAACUCCAGCCCCUCCGGCUCUAGCCCUAGCCCCUCCAGCUCCGACUAUAGCCC
Molecule: long non-coding RNA, 397 nt
Filed under: Elaeis guineensis (African oil palm)
Lineage: Eukaryota; Viridiplantae; Streptophyta; Magnoliopsida; Arecales; Arecaceae
Description: long non-coding RNA (EGUI_LNC073235)
Source: RNAcentral